CCUACGGGUGACAGCAGUGAGGAAUAUUGGUCAAUGGGCGCGAGUCUGAACCAGCCAAGUCGCGUGAGGGAAGAAGGUCCUACGGAUUGUAAACCUCUUUUGCCCGGGGGCAAAAGACUCCACUCGUGGCGGUCUGAGAGUACCCGAAGAAUAAGCACCGGCUAAUUCCGUGCCAGCAGCCGCGGUAAUACGGAGGACCCGAGCGUUAUCCGGAUUUAUUGGGGUUAAAGGGUGCGUAGGCGGGAGAUCAAGUCAGCGGUAAAAUCGGGAGGCUCAACCGCGUCGAGCCGUUGAAACUGGUUGUCUUGAGUGAACAAGAAGCAUGCGGAAUGCGUGGUGUAGCGGUGAAAUGCAUAGAUAUCACGCAGAACUCCGAUUGCGAAGGCAGCAUACCGGCGCGCGACUGACGCUCAUGCACGAAGGUGUGGGUAUCAAACAGGAUUAGAUACCCGUGUAGUC
RNAcentral lists this ribosomal RNA (459 nucleotides) under uncultured bacterium. Its description in RNAcentral is "partial 16S ribosomal RNA". It matches the Rfam family "Bacterial small subunit ribosomal RNA", at positions 338 to 795 of the family's 1533-position model. The record is from RNAcentral.